AGAGUUUGAUCCUGGCUCAGGACGAACGCUGGCGGCGUGCUUAACACAUGCAAGUCGAACGAAGAGCGAUGGAAGCUUGCUUCUAUCAAUCUUAGUGGCGAACGGGUGAGUAACGCGUAAUCAACCUGCCCUUCAGAGGGGGACAACAGUUGGAAACGACUGCUAAUACCGCAUACGAUCUAAUCUCGGCAUCGAGGAUAGAUGAAAGGUGGCCUCUACAUGUAAGCUAUCACUUAUAGAUGGAUCCGCGCCGCAUUAGCUAGUUGGUAAGGUAACGGCUUACCAAGGCAACGAUGCGUAGCCGACCUGAGAGGGUGAUCGGCCACACUGGAACUGAGACACGGUCCAGACUCCUACGGGAGGCAGCAGUAGGGAAUCUUCCGCAAUGGACGAAAGUCUGACGGAGCAACGCCGCGUGAGCGAUGACGGCCUUCGGGUUGUAAAGCUCUGUUAAUCGGGACGAAAGGCCUUCUUGCGAAUAGUGAGAAGGAUUGACGGUACCGGAAUAGAAAGCCACGGCUAACUACGUGCCAGCAGCCGCGGUAAUACGUAGGUGGCAAGCGUUGUCCGGAAUUAUUGGGCGUAAAGCGCGCGCAGGCGGAUAGGUCAGUCUGUCUUAAAAGUUCGGGGCUUAACCCCGUGAUGGGAUGGAAACUGCCAAUCUAGAGUAUCGGAGAGGAAAGUGGAAUUCCUAGUGUAGCGGUGAAAUGCGUAGAUAUUAGGAAGAACACCAGUGGCGAAGGCGACUUUCUGGACGAAAACUGACGCUGAGGCGCGAAAGCCGGGGGAGCGAAUGGGAUUAGAUACCCCGGUAGUCCUGGCCGUAAACG
This 830-nucleotide ribosomal RNA is filed under the name uncultured bacterium. RNAcentral's name for it is "bacterial SSU rRNA". It matches the Rfam family "Bacterial small subunit ribosomal RNA", at positions 8 to 808 of the family's 1533-position model. The record is from RNAcentral.